CUUGGGGUUUCGCUGACGAUUGUUUUUACUGUUGAGUAAUGUCUGGGAAACUGCCUGAUGGAGGGGGAUAACUACUGGAAACGGUAGCUAAUACCGCAUAACGUCGCAAGACCAAAGAGGGGGACCUUCGGGCCUCUUGCCAUCGGAUGUGCCCAGAUGGGAUUAGCUAGUAGGUGGGGUAACGGCUCACCUAGGCGACGAUCCCUAGCUGGUCUGAGAGGAUGACCAGCCACACUGGAACUGAGACACGGUCCAGACUCCUACGGGAGGCAGCAGUGGGGAAUAUUGCACAAUGGGCGCAAGCCUGAUGCAGCCAUGCCGCGUGUAUGAAGAAGGCCUUCGGGUUGUAAAGUACUUUCAGCGGGGAGGAAGGCGAUAAGGUUAAUAACCUUGUCGAUUGACGUUACCCGCAGAAGAAGCACCGGCUAACUCCGUGCCAGCAGCCGCGGUAAUACGGAGGGUGCAAGCGUUAAUCGGAAUUACUGGGCGUAAAGCGCACGCAGGCGGUCUGUCAAGUCGGAUGUGAAAUCCCCGGGCUCAACCUGGGAACUGCAUUCGAAACUGGCAGGCUAGAGUCUUGUAGAGGGGGGUAGAAUUCCAGGUGUAGCGGUGAAAUGCGUAUAGAUCUGGAGGAAUACCGGUGGCGAAGGCGGCCCCCUGGACAAAGACGGACGCUC
This 677-nucleotide ribosomal RNA is filed under the name Enterobacter sp. Its description in RNAcentral is "bacterial SSU rRNA". It matches the Rfam family "Bacterial small subunit ribosomal RNA", at positions 78 to 748 of the family's 1533-position model. Lineage: Bacteria; Pseudomonadati; Pseudomonadota; Gammaproteobacteria; Enterobacterales; Enterobacteriaceae. The record is from RNAcentral.